UAUUUAUAAUGAUAUAAAUUAGUAACUAUAUCAACACAUAUGAAGGAACUCGGCAAAUAUUUAUUUAGACUGUUUAACAAAAACAUAACUUGUAGAUUCUUUAUUAUAAGCUUAACCUGCUCAGUGAUUAUAAUUUAACAGCCGCAGUACACUGACUGUGCUAAGGUAGCAUAAUCAAUUGGUCUUUAAUUGGGAUCUGGCAUGAAUGGAUUUACUAUGUAAGACUGUCUUGUUGAAGUAUAUUAUGAAUUUACUUAUAGGGUGAAAAUUCCCUUAAAUUUAACAAAAGACGAGAAGACCCUUAGACUUUUUUAAAUUUUAAAUUAUGUUUUUAUUAUUUUGUUGGGGCGACAAUGUUUCAAUUUUUAACAAACAGUCAAUAAAAAUUUUUAAGAAAAUAUAUUUUAAGAAAAAUUAAAGUACCUAAGGGAUAACAGCAUAAUUAAUUAUUUAGAUUGUGACCUCGAUGUUGGACUAGGUAAUAAAUUGUCAAGAAGAUAUUUUAUUUAGUUCUGUUCCAACUUUAUCCACCUA
Molecule: ribosomal RNA, 534 nt
Filed under: Prestonella bowkeri
Lineage: Eukaryota; Metazoa; Mollusca; Gastropoda; Stylommatophora; Bulimulidae
Description: partial 16S ribosomal RNA
Rfam family: Archaeal large subunit ribosomal RNA (bases 67-217)
Source: RNAcentral